AACAAUGCAAUGCAUUGUUAAAAGCAAGAACUGUUUUUAAAGAAUGGACAAUUGCAAUCUUCCCAACAUAAUUGUUCUGACAGAGAGUUUUUGCCGCUUGUGUUGUUCGUGAAGGAUAACAGACAUGGUGAUUUUGUGCCCUACAACUUUUCUCUGUUUUAUUGCUUUAUAUUGUGUAUCUGUGAUUGCAGAAGGAAGAUUAUUAUGUUCCUCAGAACAACUUCGUAUCUGGUACACCUUUGAUGGACCAUUGUAUUACCUGUCAAUGACUGCUUCCCCGUGCUCUCUAGGAGUGAAUUUGUUCUCUAUAACUUAUACACUAAUACCAAUGUUUACAAUUGAUCGUAUUGGUUAUCAUGUUAGUAUUCAUUACAAGGGUCAGCUGUGGUUGGAGCACAUAGAGCCAGAUGUUCCUUGCGAGGAUUUAAAAAUAUGUUCCAUCAUCAAAGGAGGUACUACAUGUUAGAAUAUGUUUACUGUUUAUCUUGUACUGUUGUGAUGCAAUGAAACUGCUUCCUUGUUUCAGAAACACUUCAUGAUACCUUUCCAUUGUACAUGAAAAAGUUUAAUGGCCCUGAGGGAGUGUAUCAGAUUUACCUGAGUGUGAACAUUGUUGAUGACCUUGGAAACAAAGUGACAUUACAAUUCAAUGUCACUUUAGAAGCAAAAAAUUAUGCCAAUAAGAGGAAAUUUCCUGUCCCACAGCUGGGAGGGCUAUAGGGUAAACUACAUGGAGUAUACAGCUUAUUUCCUUUUUGAGGUAAAUGUCUGUAUUUUCGGUUCCGUUUUCUGAGCAGAUCAAGUGAUUGUCAGUGUAUGAGUGUCACUGCAAUGGAGUUCUUGUAUUAGACAUGGUGUCAUUCUAGCAAAUUAGUUUCAAAAUCUUGACAUGCACGCUUUCUGUUUUGAUACCAGGUAGUAUCAAACAUUUGAAUUAUUAAUAACAUUUAGAUUCCGCCAAAUAGGAAAGACCACCCCUUCAGCCUGCCUAGCAGCCUGACAAUUAGGAACUUGAUUCGUCUUCCAAGAUGGUGCAUUAUCAGCUGCUGAGUAUUGUCAUUCAUUCAGAACUGCCCUCCUAUUUGAAGUUUGGACAGACUGAAAUAGAUAAAGGAGGUUAAAAUAAGAGCCCUGGGCAGCUUCAUCCACAGUGUCUGCCAUCAGCCAAGAGUAGCUCAUCCUCAUUUCUUCUAAAUGUCUUAUUUGUGAGACAUUACCUUAUAACACUUGAUCACAGAAACACGAGUCACCACAUAAUAUAUUAAGUUAAAAGUUAUGGUUAUUUAAUGAAUGCAAAUGGCAAUAAUGGGCAAACAUGCCAAAACUGUACAGUACUUUAAUAGUUAUUAUAAUAGUUUUAUAUAUAUAUAUAUAUGUAAGUGUGUGUGUGUGUGUUUAUUUGAUAAUACUGAGAACUGUUUUCUAUGUUAAUAUAAAAUAUCAUUUAUUCCUGAUGGCAAAGCUGAAUUUUCAGCAUCAUUACUCCAGUCUUCAGUGUCGCAUGAUCCUUCAGAAAUCAUUCUAAUAUGCUGAUUUAGUGCUCAAGAAUAAUUUCUUAUUAUUGACCCUUUUCACAUUUCCGUUGUCAUAGUUGGUUAAACUUAUAUAGCGGUGAAUGAGAGACUACAUUAAAUAUAUAUUUUUUGUGUUCCCAUUUGCUCAAAUAGCAAAAGAAUAACAAUAGAUAGAGAGAGAUUGAUAACGGCAGUCAGAGAAAGAGAAAGAGAAAGAUGUAAAUUUUAUCAUCACUCCCAUAGCCACUGUAUUUGAAACACCCUCACAGCAGAGUAAACUAGUUUUUUGUAAUUUGAUGAAAAGGUAAUAUAAUACAAAGUAUUAUAAAUGUACAUACAUAAAAAAAAAAAAAAAAAAAAAAAAAAAAAAACUUUGUAGGAUUUACGAUGCUGAUGACCGUUAGAAAGCAAUGUAAUUACCGUCAUUCAAGGUCCAUAAAAGUAGUAAAGACAUCGUUAAAAUAGUCAACGUGACUACAGUGGUUCAACCUUAAUGUUAUGAAGCGACAAGAAUACUUUUUGUGUGCAAAAACAAAACAAAAAUUAUUUAACAAUUUCUUCUUUACCUUGUCAGACUUGUUCGCAGUGAAUGCAGUUCAGCGCUUCUGUGUUUACAUCUGAACGCUGGCUCAGUAUUGGCGGCUCCUGCGUCAGCGUCACACGCAUGCGUCGUGCUGCUCACGUGAAUACCGUCGGCUA
This is a long non-coding RNA of Ctenopharyngodon idella (grass carp), 2213 nucleotides long. RefSeq lists it as uncharacterized. NCBI's taxonomy places the organism in Eukaryota, Metazoa, Chordata, Actinopteri, Cypriniformes, Xenocyprididae. The record is from RefSeq and is a predicted model, not a curated record. The transcript has 4 exons.